RNAcentral lists this ribosomal RNA (707 nucleotides) under Quambalaria sp. IPWS. RNAcentral's name for it is "eukaryotic LSU rRNA". The stretch from base 245 to 398 matches the Rfam family "5.8S ribosomal RNA". Lineage: Eukaryota; Fungi; Basidiomycota; Exobasidiomycetes; Microstromatales; Quambalariaceae. The record is from RNAcentral.
UGGAAGUUGAAAAAGCGUAACAAGCGAUUUCUGCAGGUGAACCUGCAGACAGGAUCACGUUAGUGAAUUUCACGAGUGAACUCCAGCAUCGUAGAUGGAUCCCGACCCUCACAUUAUCCACAUACACUUGUGCACUGUUGGUUGGGUGUGAACCUUUGGUUUAUCGCCCGCCAACGCCAAUUAUACAAACUCUGAGAACUAUGAAUGUGAAUUUAACUUGCCAAUUUUUGGCGAAAUUAAAUACAACUUUCGACAACGGAUCUCUUGGUUCUCCCAUCGAUGAAGAACGCAGCGAAUUGCGAUAAGUAAUGUGAAUUGCAGAAUUCAGUGAAUCAUCGAAUCUUUGAACGCACCUUGCGCUCCCUGGUAUUCCUAGGAGCAUGCCUGUUUGAGUGUCAUGAAUUCCUCAAACCCCAAUGUUUUGCAAAAUUCAUUGCUUGGGUUUGGUUGUGGGCCUAUAUUGCUGCUUCACGGCAGCUGGCCUUAAAGAUAUUAGCUGGACUCUCCGAGACUCUUGGAUAGUUCCACUUGAUGUGAUAAAUUUGCAUCGGUGGGUCAAGACUAUGCUUGGGAAGUGUGAGAAGUCUGCUUCUAAUCCGGCGAGAGGUUCCAUCCUCGUAGCGCACAGAUAAAUUUAGCAACUCUGGCCUCAAAUGCAGGUAGGACUACCCGCUGAACUUAAGGCAUCAUCAUAAGCGGAGAGGAAA